Molecule: ribosomal RNA, 560 nt
Filed under: uncultured bacterium
Lineage: Bacteria
Description: bacterial SSU rRNA
Rfam family: Bacterial small subunit ribosomal RNA
Source: RNAcentral
CCUACGGGAGGCAGCAGUGGGGAAUAUUGGACAAUGGGCGAAAGCUGAUCCAGCAAUGCCGCGUGAGUGAUGAAGGCCUUAGGGUUGUAAAGCUCUUUUACCAGGGAUGAUAAUGACAGUACCUGGAGAAUAAGCUCCGGCUAACUCCGUGCCAGCAGCCGCGGUAAUACGGAGGGAGCUAGCGUUGUUCGGAAUUACUGGGCGUAAAGCGUGCGUAGGCGGCUAUUCAAGUCAGAGGUGAAAGCCUGGAGCUCAACUCCAGAACUGCCUUUGAAACUAGAUAGCUAGAAUCUUGGAGAGGUGAGUGGAAUUCCGAGUGUAGAGGUGAAAUUCGUAGAUAUUCGGAAGAACACCAGUGGCGAAGGCGACUCACUGGACAAGUAUUGACGCUGAGGUACGAAAGCGUGGGGAGCAAACAGGAUUAGAUACCCUGGUAGUCCACGCCGUAAACGAUGAUAACUAGCUGUCCGGGCUCUCAGAGCUUGGGUGGCGCAGCUAACGCAUUAAGUUAUCCGCCUGGGGAGUACGGUCGCAAGAUUAAAACUCAAAUGAAUUGACGG